Molecule: RNA transcript, 3897 nt
Organism: Stomoxys calcitrans (stable fly)
Lineage: Eukaryota; Metazoa; Arthropoda; Insecta; Diptera; Muscidae
Gene: nmo
Gene name: serine/threonine-protein kinase NLK
Exons: 9
Source: RefSeq, a predicted model, not a curated record
GAGAUAGUGUGUCUUUGUUUUAACAAAAAAUAAAAGUAAAAAAACUAAAUUAGUUGUUCUCCAUAAAUUUAAGUGUAUGUGCAUGCGUCUGUCUUCAGUACUCCUCUGAAUAAGCCUAUGAAUUUGUGUGCAAAAGAAACAAAAUAAAUUGUUAGCGCAAAAUAAAAGUCAACUACAUUGUGUUUUUUAAGUUAAAGAAGAAUCUAUUACAUACAUAUUUGUCAGCCCUGCUGAAAUUUUAUUAAAUAUAUAAUAGUGUGUGAAUAAAAUAAAAUGUGAAAAAAUAUACUGUUACUAUCUCCCCCUCCUACCUUUUACAGUAUUAAAGUGAAAAGACGAAAGUGUAUGAGACAAGAGAAGAAAUAUUAACAACAACAGCAACAUUUUGUGUAAGUGCGUCCCGUGUAGAUUUGACGUUUAACAAAUCUCUAACUCCCAUCCCAUUGCUCUCUUCGUUGCUCUCUAUCACUCACAUGCUCUCACCGGUCACCAGUGUUGUUUUUAGUUGGCAGCAGUAUAUGUUAAGAAAACAACAAAAUAUAAGUGUACAUAAUUGAGAAAGAGGAGCCAGAACAACCCAGAGAGAAGAUUACCAUUUGCUCUCAGCUGCUGAACCAGGCAGACACACACACACACGUUAAUGAGUGAGUGCAUUUGUUUGUGCCGUUUAUCGGUGGUUUGCCUUUGUUCAUUGGCUCUGCUUAGUAGUGAGAUAGUUGGUGCGUUUGCUUUGUGCUUUUUUUCCAACCGGCGUUUUAACAUAAAAAAUUGAUUGUUAGCAACAACAACAACAAUAAUAAAAAAAAAAAUAUAGUUAAAACAACAUCAAUCAACAACCAAAAGAGGCAAUGUAAAAAUUUUUAAACAAAAUCAAUUAAAAUACAAAACGUCUGCUUUAAGUGAAUAAAUAAAGGAAAUGUGUGUUAAAUAAAUACAAAUUGCUAAUAAACAAGUAAAUAUUAGCAGCAGAAAGCAGGCAAUCAACAAAGCGAAUCACAAUAAAGAUAAAUAUUACCGCAGUUAUCAGCGCUUAUAGAAAUUAAGAUACUAUUAGCCGAAAAAAUUUGUUUGACGUACAUACCUACAUACAUAUAAAACACACAUAUAUACCCAUAUAUAUUAUCCUAUAUCCCCUAUCCACAAUCAUCAGAAGAGCAACGCAAAAUAAAAUUCAUAAAAACCUAUGAAAAAAAAGGAAAAAAAACCCAAAAUUGCUUUUACGUAAGGGCUUUGAAAAAAUAAAUAUUGCUGUACUCAUCUGUAAACGCGGCCACCAUAAUAGAUUGUGAAUUCGAAACAAAAUAAAAAAUUUUAAUUAAAGUGAAAAAUCUCCACGUUGAACAGCUUUUGUUUCGCAUUUAUCCUGAUUCUAUGUUUCCUUGAGCUCUCAGGCCACUGCCGUCGCCGUCGCCGUUGCCGCCUACUCCCCAACAACAAGUAUCCUCAAACACGCAACCUUUACGUUGUGUGUGUGAGUGUGCGUUUGAAUGUGAGCUGCGCGAAUAUACGAGUACACAAAUCCAUAAAGGCCGGCAUACGACGGCACAACAAUUGUUUGCAGUAACGCGUGCUUGUGUGUGUGUGUAUUUACAAGGAUAUAUAGAAAUUGUGUGAAUAUAUGUGGGGCUUAGUGUGUAAAACACAAGUUUUGUUUAUGCUCUUCUCACUGAUGUCGAAGUGAAAAGAGUGUAUUUGAGUGAUUCGAUGUGUAGGUGUGUACUUGCGUGGGUCCGUUAGUAUCCUCGCGUUAACAAAACAAACUUUGAUGGUGGCUUUGGCAAACUCAUAUCCAUCCACUCAUCUAUCCCAUCACAUAACAUACCAUUAAUCAGGCCUAGCAACAAACAAACUAAUAAUCUAACGGAAAGUGUUGUUUCGCCGCCAGAAACAGCUUCAAUUCAAACGUCUCGGGCAAAAGGCGAAGAAAUUCAAUUCAUUGUUGUCGUGUUAAAAUUCAAUGAGCGUUUCGAUGUCUCUCGUACAAGGUGGAGCUGCUGGCGGUGCGCCACAAGGAGCUAUACUUGCUGCUGCCGCACCUUAUUAUCAGCCACCGGCAGUACCGCAGGAUGUGCAACCAGAUCGUCCCAUUGGCUAUGGUGCUUUCGGAGUAGUAUGGGCUGUCACAGAUCCCCGCGAUGGACGUCGCGUAGCACUCAAAAAACUUCCAAAUGUCUUUCAAUCAUUGGUUUCAUCAAAGCGAGUUUUUCGUGAAUUAAAGAUGCUGUGUUUUUUCAAACAUGAAAAUGUCCUGUCAGCAUUGGAUAUUCUACAGCCACCUCAUUUGGAUUUCUUCCAAGAAAUAUAUGUGAUAACCGAACUUCUUCAAUCAGAUCUCCACAAAAUCAUUGUUUCACCGCAACAUUUAUCUGCCGAUCACAUCAAAGUGUUCCUGUAUCAAAUUCUACGUGGUCUCAAAUAUCUACAUUCUGCCCGAAUACUGCAUCGUGACAUUAAGCCCGGCAAUUUGUUGGUCAACUCGAAUUGCGUGCUAAAAAUAUGCGACUUUGGACUGGCUCGUGUGGAGGAGCCCGAUCAAACGAAACACAUGACCCAAGAGGUGGUAACGCAAUACUACAGAGCACCCGAAAUUUUAAUGGGGGCGCGUCACUAUUCCUCCGCUGUGGAUGUGUGGUCGGUGGGCUGUAUUUUUGGCGAGCUGCUGGGGCGUCGCAUUCUCUUUCAAGCUCAGAAUCCUAUACAACAAUUAGAUCUCAUUACCGAACUCUUGGGCACACCUUCGAUGGAGGAUAUGCGUCAUGCCUGUAGUGGCGCCCGUUCACACAUGAUGCGGCGUACACCCAAACUGCCCUCGUUCUCUGCUCUCUACACCCUAAGUUCACAUGCCACACACGAUGCAGUGCAUCUGCUGUGUCAAAUGUUGGUAUUUGAUCCUGAUAAGCGCAUUUCAGUGACGGAUGCCUUGGCCCAUCCCUAUUUGGAUGAAGGACGUUUGCGUUAUCACUCGUGCAUGUGCAAAUGCUGCUUUACCACACCGGCCGGUAUGCGACAAUACACAAAUGACUUUGAGCCCUCGGCUGGACAAGCGUUCGAUGAUUUAUGGGAAAGAAAACUGACAUCGGUGCAGCAGGUCAAAGAGGAAAUGCAUAAAUUCAUAGCAGAACAGCUGCAGACGGGUCGAGUUCCAUUGUGCAUAAACCCCCAAAGUGCAGCAUUCAAAAGUUUUGCCAGCCAAUAAAAUAGUGAAGUAAAUCGUAAACCACAAAAUAGUUCUACUACAGAAUAAAACACACACUGCUGCUUAACCGAUAGAUAAAAAACUUAAAAAAAAAUAUAUAGAUCAACGAAUAAAAAAUAGAGAACUUGAAUAAUUCAAAGGAAUCAAAUUUCCAAUGAAAACCACUCAACAGAAACAGAAGACUUCAGUGAUAUUAACAAGGAUCCUUAGAGAGAAAGAAAGUGAAUAAAGAAUGAGAGAGGGGACACAAGGGCUGACCUUGAAUAUGACGAGAAGAUUCAAAAGUGCAUUUAAAAUACGAAAAGAGAUACAACUCGAAUGUUGGCCAGAGGCCAAAGCUAGCUGCCAACUUAAUAAUUGGUCGAAGCCCCCUAAAAUAUGCAACACUUAUAAUCAAGCUGUAAGCUGUAAUUGCAUUAUAAAGCGCCAAACAGCAAAUUCGUAUACGUAAAUAGUUAAACUGGAAACUUUUAAAUAUUUGCUAUAGCCAUGCCCUGUCCUGCCCUUCGGUAUCAUAUCAUCUUAGAGGGCGUUUUGUUUGCGCCAUUAAACCAGCCACAAUCGUUUAUGUCCUUCUGAGCAUUGAGAAUCUUGUACUGCAUUGCUCCUCUAGUUCAACGGUGGCGCAUCCUUCCGAAUUGCCACCAUCACCCCAUCAAUGGGAAUGACGGCAAAAUGAGGCCAUAGCAGCCUAAAAUUUU